Molecule: ribosomal RNA, 497 nt
Filed under: uncultured bacterium
Lineage: Bacteria
Description: partial 16S ribosomal RNA
Rfam family: Bacterial small subunit ribosomal RNA
Source: RNAcentral
GAUGAACGCUGGCGGCGUGCCUAAUACAUGCAAGUCGAGCGAACGGACGAGGAGCUUGCUUUUCUGAUGUUAGCGGCGGACGGGUGAGUAACACGUGGAUAACAUACGUAUUAUACUGGGAGAACUCCGGGCGACCGAAGCAAAUACCGGAUGAUAUCUCGAACCGUAUGGUUCAAAAGUGAGAGACGGUCUUGCUGUUACUAAUAGAUGGAUCCGCGCUGCAUUAGCUAGUUGGUAAGGUAACAGCUUACCAAGGCAACGAUGCAUAGCUGAGCUGAGAGGGUGAUCGGCCACACUGGAACUGAGACACGGUCCAGACUCCUACGGGAGGCAGCAGUAGGGAAUCUUCCGCAAUGGGCGAAAGCCUGACGGAGCAACGCCGCGUGAGUGAUGAAGGUCUUCGGAUCGUAAAACUCUGUUAUUAGGGAAGAACAUAUGUGUAAGUAACUGUGCACAUCUUGACGGUACCUAAUCAGAAAGCCACGGCUAACUACGUG